RNAcentral lists this ribosomal RNA (578 nucleotides) under Pseudomonas aeruginosa. Its description in RNAcentral is "bacterial SSU rRNA". It matches the Rfam family "Bacterial small subunit ribosomal RNA", at positions 145 to 724 of the family's 1533-position model. Lineage: Bacteria; Pseudomonadati; Pseudomonadota; Gammaproteobacteria; Pseudomonadales; Pseudomonadaceae. The record is from RNAcentral.
AACGUUUCGAAGGACGCUAAUACCGCAUACGUCCUACGGGAGAAAGCAGGGGACCUUCGGGCCUUGCGCUAUCAGAUGAGCCUAGGUCGGAUUAGCUAGUUGGUGAGGUAAUGGCUCACCAAGGCGACGAUCCGUAACUGGUCUGAGAGGAUGAUCAGUCACACUGGAACUGAGACACGGUCCAGACUCCUACGGGAGGCAGCAGUGGGGAAUAUUGGACAAUGGGCGAAAGCCUGAUCCAGCCAUGCCGCGUGUGUGAAGAAGGUCUUCGGAUUGUAAAGCACUUUAAGUUGGGAGGAAGGGCAGUAAAUUAAUACUUUGCUGUUUUGACGUUACCGACAGAAUAAGCACCGGCUAACUCUGUGCCAGCAGCCGCGGUAAUACAGAGGGUGCAAGCGUUAAUCGGAAUUACUGGGCGUAAAGCGCGCGUAGGUGGUUCGUUAAGUUGGAUGUGAAAUCCCCGGGCUCAACCUGGGAACUGCAUCCAAAACUGGCGAGCUAGAGUAUGGUAGAGGGUGUUGAAAUUUCCUGUGUAGCGGUGAAAUGCGUAGAUAUAGGAAGAACCCCCGUGAAAAGGA